This 1262-nucleotide long non-coding RNA is filed under the name Sus scrofa (pig). Its description in RNAcentral is "lncRNA (ENSSSCG00030057096.1)". The record is from RNAcentral. Lineage: Eukaryota; Metazoa; Chordata; Mammalia; Artiodactyla; Suidae.
ACUCACACUUCCUUUGUCAGUAUCAUGUAGGCCAAAGGAGACCCAUCAAAAACUUUUGCUAUCUAGGAAUAUUUUUUUUUCUAAGAAUAUUUUUAAAGCAUUGAAAUAAUUUAAGAAAUUUGAGCUUUAAUGGAGCUUUUGAGUUUUAAAGUUUUUGCGUUUUGUUUUGGUCUUAUUGCUAAGGUUUUUCGGAUUAAGGCAUGCCAGCCUCUUGGUAACGAUUUUUGGUACUCUGACUAAAUUGCACAGACUCACUUGGCCAUGACAGUUUUUCUGUCCUGCCUCACUGACUCAGAGCUCUAGCCGUGUCUGCCACCUACACCACAGCUCACGGCAAUGCCAGAUUCCUAAUCCACUGAGAGAGGCCAGGGAUCGAACCCACAACCUCAUGGUUCCCAGUCGGAUUCGUUAACCACUGAGCCAUGACAGGAACUCCUCACGAACAUUUUUAAAAGUAAGUUUUUUCAUUUUUGUAGAUGUGUAUUUUAGUUAAUAGUUUUUCCUGUCUUCAUUUUCCUUCAUAAAAAAAUGAGAUAUUCCUGAGUUAGCACUCUCCUGAAAUGUACUGUUUGGCUCAGAUCUGUGCUCUGUAUAGAGUGUCCUGCGCCUGCCCAUGUCUGACUCGGAAGGGGAGACACAGAUGGGAGAGCGGGUGACUGACUCAGAGAGCUCUAAAUGAUCUUACUAUGCUUGAGCGAGCCACACCUAGAAACCUUGACAAUAAUAAGACCUGUGUUGGAUAUGCCUUACUUGUCAGAUCCUGUCUGGAUUUUAGUCUGUCACAUGUGUGUUGUUCAUCGGCAGAGUUAAAUGGGUACCAGAACAAUUGCAAAGCUUUAACCAGACCCAUGAUUACACUGUUUCUCACUUCAGCCAUACAAAGAAAAUGAAACACAAACCCAAAACAAAUUUCUAGUUGUUUCUGUUAUUGUAGGUUCUGGUCAGUGGUUUUAGUGCUACAGAUCCUACACCAAGAUAGAUGUUCAUGGGUAAAUUCAUUAAGAUAAUCAGUGUCGGUGGCAAGCUGUUAAUGUUUUAAAAUAACUUUUCUCUGGGAGUUCCCAUUGUGGUGCAGCAGAAACGAAUCUGACUAGUAUCCAUGAGGAUGUGGGUUCAUUCCCUGGCCUCGCUCAGUAGGUCAAGGAUCCAGCAUUGCUGUGAGCUGUGCUGUAGGUCACAGACACGGCUGUGAUCUGGCUGUGCUGUGGCUGCGGUGUAGGCAGGCAGCUGUAGCUUCAAUUGGACCCCUAGCCUGGGAACCU